UUUAGCGAUAACGAACGAGAACCUUGACCUGCUAAAUAAGCCAGGUUGACUUUGUUCGGCCGCCGGCCGUUCCUUUAGUAGGGACUUUUGGCUCAAGCCAAUGGAAGUACGAGGCAAUAACAGGACUGUGAUGCCCUUAGAUGUUCUGGGCCGCACGCGCGCUACACUGACAGAGCCAGCGAGUACAUCACCUUGGCCGAAAGGUCUGGGUAAUCUUGUUAAACUCUGUCGUGCUGGGGAUAGGGCAUUGCAAUG
RNAcentral lists this ribosomal RNA (255 nucleotides) under uncultured fungus. RNAcentral describes it as "partial small subunit ribosomal RNA". It matches the Rfam family "Eukaryotic small subunit ribosomal RNA", at positions 1319 to 1591 of the family's 1831-position model. Lineage: Eukaryota; Fungi. The record is from RNAcentral.